RNAcentral lists this ribosomal RNA (492 nucleotides) under uncultured bacterium. RNAcentral's name for it is "partial 16S ribosomal RNA". It matches the Rfam family "Bacterial small subunit ribosomal RNA", at positions 29 to 507 of the family's 1533-position model. The record is from RNAcentral.
AGUGAACGCUGGCGGUAGGCCUAACACAUGCAAGUCGAACGGCAGCACAGUAAGAGCUUGCUCUUACGGGUGGCGAGUGGCGGACGGGUGAGGAAUACAUCGGAAUCUACAUUUUCGUGGGGGAAAACGUAGGGAAACUUACGCUAAUACCGCAUACGACCUACGGGUGCAAGCAGGGGAUCUUCGGACCUUGCGCGCUAGAAUGAGCCGAUGUCGGAUUAGCUAGUUGGCGGGGUAAAGGCCCACCAAGGCGACGAUCCGUAGCUGGUCUGAGAGGAUGAUCAGCCACACUGGAACUGAGACACGGUCCAGACUCCUACGGGAGGCAGCAGUGGGGAAUAUUGGACAAUGGGCGCAAGCCUGAUCCAGCCAUACCGCGUGGGUGAAGAAGGCCUUCGGGUUGUAAAGCCCUUUUGUUGGGAAGGAAAAGCAGCAGGUUAAUACCCCGCUGUUCUGACGGUACCCAAAGAGUAAGCACCGGCUAACUUCGUG